CAUGAUCAUCCCCUACACCACCAAACAAAGAACUGCCUCUUGACCCAGGCAAGGAAUAGCCGUGUGGAGGCAAGGAUUGAAACAAAUCCCUAAAUAAAGGAGGUUGUGGAGGAAGAUUAAGGUGAAAAAGUGGGUCAUAGAGACUAGAAGAGGCAGAAGCUGUGUCUGUCAUUGGAAGAUCUCCAACAAAACUUAAUGGAGUUGUAUGGUUAGGGUUUGUGAAAGAAAUUGAAGAAUUUGGAAGCAAGGAAGAUCUGGGUAAGCGAAAAAGGUUACGCAGGUCUGGUGUUGGAGUAUAUGCUGAAUCUGGUAAAGAAGAUGAUGAUGUAAAAGCCAAAUAAUUUGAUGAUUCAUGCAUUAAAUGGGCAUUCAAAUCCAUUUGUUGGAUUUGAAGUUGGAUUUCCAUUACAGCAGCAGAAGCAUCCUCUUCUAGAUGUGGAUUGUUGAAGCUAUGGUGACAAAGUUCAUCAGCAGAUAGCUUAAGAUUUUCUUCAAGGCUAUUAUGGCUGGUUGUUGUACUACUACCCGCCAUAAGCGGCGGCGGUGGUAGUGGUGGUUGCAAAACUUGACAAAGCCCACCUUCAGGUCCUUCUACCAUGGAGUUUGGAUCAAAACAAUCCGUCUCUUCAUACAUUUUUCCGAUCUAGUUACAUAAGAUACAAAGUCCAUUAACAAAGCCCAAAAAGAACAAGAAAAAUAAAUUUAAAACGCAUAAAAUAAACAACAUUUCAAUAAAAAGCUUAUAGUAAGAUCAAAAGCUUCAAGAACAAAAACCCAGAUGCGAAAUUAGCUAGUUUUACAGAGAAUUGAAAGAAAGAAGUGUGAAUAUAUAUGGAACCAAUAUAUUUUUUCAGUUGCAGUUAUGAAUAGAGAAGGUUUGUUAGAGACAGAGAGAGAGGAAAUGGAAAUUUUAGCUUAAAUUAUAUAUGAAAAUGAAAUAUGAGGAGGAGGAGAAGGAGAAGGAAUUGAAAGAUGGAACUGCAAAUACUGCAUGCCUUAUGUGAUGAUUUCCUUUUGUUCACAGAAAGGGAGGUUGUUACUCAGAUUCUUGUUACUGGGCCCCACUCACAAUCUCUCUCUAUAUAUAUAGAAUUUUCCAGAUGAUUUUCAGUUUUGCCUUUUUACUUUUUUUUUUCCCUCCAUUUAUUAUAAAUUUGUUUCCUUUCCCAAUUUUUCUAAGCAACUGUCCAUUUGUCACUACAAUACCAAAGUUCUUUAUUCCUGCCUGAAAAGAUCAUGAGUUGGAAUUUUUUCUUUCUUUUCUUUUAACUUAAUACAAAAAUGGAAAAUAGAGAUUUAUGUGGGUGGAUCUGGCGCGAAUAGGGAUUAAUCCUAGUCGGGUUGAGGAUAUGUAUAAUUAGGUUGUUUUCGGCAACAAGCUUUUAGUGUUUUGACUUUUUAUACUAUUUCAUAAUAUAGCAUUUGAAUUAGUUUUUAGAGGUUAAAAUAACGUUUUAUAAAAGGUUAACUCUUAUUAUGAAAAGCUACUCAAUAUUAAAAUAGCUACCAACUACUGAAAUAGCUAUUUUUGCGGAAUAUUCCCUUAAUAAUAAAAGAAAAGGAAAAUGAUUUGAAAGAAAAUAUUCUUGCAAAAUUUCAGCAUUUAGAUGAGAAUUUCUUUUUCUUAAUUAUAGGAAAUCUGAAAAAGAAAAAAAUAUGGAAUUGCCAAUGGUUUUUUUAUUAUUUUUUAAAUAAAGGAAAAAUCAUAAUAAUUUAUUAAAUCUUGUGCCAUGCUGUUACAUAGUCUUGGCUAAGGACUACUUGUGAAUUGUGAAAUAUGCCAACAUAAAUUUUUCAAGUACAAAUCAGGAACAAGUUGCUUUGAAGAUUUGUUUGAUAAUGAAGAUUUGUUGUUUUUUCUUCUUGUGGUAAUGAACUUGGUAAAAUUAAAACUACAUAAACAUGCUAAAAGCAAUGCUGCAAACAAACCAUAUUUUACUUCUCAAAACAUUGGUAGAUUAUGGAGUUGUUAUUGAUUAAUAAUCCUUUUUAUAAAAAAUUAUAGUGAUUCGACUUAGAUUAUGGAGAGUAGGAGGUAUCAAGUUUGAGACCUCUCCGUCACAAAAAUUUUCAUCAAUUUAGACUUUGUUCGGUAACAACUUAUUAAGUAGUUUUUAGUGUUUUGGAACUAUUUUUUUUAAUAUGCGGUAAUAUAACAUUUGAAUUAGUUUUUAAAGUUCAAGUUAAUAUUUUAUAAAAAGUUUUAAUCCAUGAACGUUUAACUUUUAGCAAUUUAUGAAAAGUUACUCAAAUAGCUUACUGCUAAAUGCUACUAAAACAACUAACAGCUAAUAAUAGUUAAUUUUGCCGAAUAGAGAAUUAGUGAGUAAAGGGAAGGUUGGUCUUCUAAAAAUAUAUUUUUGAAGAAUAGGUGCAAUGUUUGUUUUCCUAAAAAAAAAAUUUACAAGAAGGGAAAACUGUAGAGAAAAAAACAAAAGGGUACAAAACACAACAAUAGAAAAAGUAAAUGUUUUGUAAUUAAUGUGGCAAAGGUAAUGAUUUAGGUUGGGAUUAACUGCAGGUUAAUUGGAAAGACAAAGUAUACUUAAUUUAAUUUCCAUUUGCGUAAUAAGAAGAAUACAAAUUUGAGGUUGAAUUGGAUGGUAAUGCAAGAAAUCAAAAAUUGAGAAUUGCGUUUUAGCAAAUAUAUAUAUAUAUAUAUACACACGUCGCAGAAGAGAGAGAACGAGUACAGGUUAGUUCGUUUGAUAAUAUAAAUAAUUAAUUGUACGUGAAUACGUUUAUCUUUGUCGGAAAAACUGGAUCAUGAUCUCCAAAUUAGAGUUUUGCAGGCAUCAAAUUGGACAGUUUCAAGAGGCAACCCAGCUUUUUGCUGCUUCCUUCCUUCAGCUUUUCUCUGCCCAUUUUGGUCAAGGACAAUCAAUUACUAAAUACCCCUUUUAGUCUUUUCAAAAAAGAUGGUUUGAUUCUUCAUGCCUAUUACUCUUAGGAACUGAACCACAUCCAAUAGAACCAAUUCGAUUUGGUUUUGUUUUGAUUUUAAAGAAGUUUAGUUUAUUCAGUCGGCUAUCUUAAAGUCUAUAUAUUUGCUCAUUGUCAAAUGUUUCAAUAGCGUUUUUUUAUAAAAUCAAUAAACUUUGUUUUGUUAUUUUUUUUCAUGUCUAUGAGAGGUCUGGUCCUGUGUCCUUAAUAGGCUGUUUGUCUCUAAUCAAUGAAAUUAAACAGCGUGGAAAGGAAACUAUUCAUGUAAUUUUUUGAAGCAAUGAUUUUGGAGUAGCUUAAAGUUAAAACAGUUGCUUGCAUGCUUUAUUUGGCAAAAAAUCGGUUAUAAUAAUAAAUUUUGGAUCUCAGACGGAUAAAGAGGUGAGGGCUGCAGGGGGGCCAUGUGACCAUAGGGUUAGCUUUCAUGUUCUUUAGCUCAGGUUUGCAUGUAAUUUACUAUGCAUCUUUUGAGUGGUGGAGAGAGUUAAUUUGUGCUAUUCAGUUUAAUUUUGCUGAAUUGAACCUGUUGUGCAAUUUUGUAUAUCUCACCUUCUGUCCUGCAAGCUACACAUGGUUCAUUAACUGAAAAAGGUCUGGUGAUGAUUUAUCUGAUCUAACAGCCAAAACUUGAUUUAAUGAUUCUUGAGUUAAAUGGGUAGUCAAAUCCUUUUGUUGAAUUUGAAGUGGGAUUUUCAUGACAGCAGUAGCAACAGCAGAAACAUCCUCUUCUUGAUUUGGAUUAUUCAUGCUAUGGUGAUAAGAGAUUCCAUCUGUGGAAAGCUUAAGAUUUUCUUCAACGCUAUUAUGGCUUUUUACAGUACCCCCUGCCAUAAGUGGCGUUGGUAGUUGCAGAACUUGAGAAAGCCAUCUUCUGGUCCUUCUGCCAUGGAGUUUGGAUCAAAACAACUUGUCUCUUGAUAUAUUUUUUUUGAUUUAGCUACAUAAAAAGCAAAGUCCAUCAAAAAAACCAAAAAAGAACAAGAAAAAGGAAAUUAAAAACACAAAAAAAUAAAAAAAGACCGUGGAGAAAAAGCUUACAGUAAGAAUUAAAACGCUUCAAGAAGAGAUCCCAGAUGGAGUUUUACAGAGAAUUGAAGGAAAGAGUGUGAAUAUGGAAUUAAAAUCUUUUAGUUGCAGUUAUGAGAGAGAGAGUGUGUGUUUGUUAUAAAGAAAGAAAGAGAAAGAUGGAAAUUUUUGCAUAAAUUAGAAAAUGAAAUACGUAGGAAAAGAAGGUGGUAGGAGGAAGAGAGGAACUGCAGAAAAUGCAAGCUUUAUGUGAUGAUUUCCUUUCCUAAGGGAUAUUUGUGUACUUAAUUCCUGUUAUUGGGCCCCACUCGUAAUCUCAUUAUAAUCCUAUAUUUUCAGAAGAUUUUCAAUCUUGCCUUUCUAGUUUUAGAAUAUUCAAUGUUAGCUCUGUCAAAAUGGAUUGUUCGGCCGGGCCGGGCCUAGCCCAUGCAAACUCGGUUCUAAAAUGGGCCGAGCCGAAAAAGCUUGUUAUGUAGUUAGAAUAAUGAGAAAAAUAAACCAUGACAUAUCAGAUUGAUUUAUCUUAAAAGUAAUUUUUGAUGGCUUGAUUUGUCUUAUUAUAAUAUUUUUCUCAUUAGCAGUUCAAAAAUAUAUUAUUUUGCAAAAAAAUCAUUUUAAAAAUAUUUGAAUUUUCACUUCAUGAUGAAUGUCUCUAAGCUUUAUGUAGUAUAUAUAUAUUAAAAAAAUUAUUAUGAAUUUAUUAGAAUUUUAACAUUAUUAUGAAUGUCGUAUCCUAUAUAGGCCUUGGAGUACUCGAGUCGGACAUAGUUAUAAUCCAAUAAGCUUUCGGAUAUAGGUAACCAUCAAAGAAUUUUAACUUGGUAACUGUAGAUUAAGUUGAUUUAACUCCAAAAAAAUAUUUCAAUCCACAUAAUCAACACCCAUUUGGCUAAAACGUAUUAGAAAGCAAUUAGUUUCGCUAAGAAAAAGUACAUUAUCUUUUAUAACUUUACUGAUUUGUCUCAAAUUCUCAAACAUUACAUCUACUCUUAUUAGCCACUUCAUAACCUAUACCUCAUUUUUCACCUACCCAACUUCUUGGCCUGCUAAUAGCAGCUUGUAGAUGGAGUUGAUGCAUACUGCCUGUCCACCACCUCAAUCAGCUUGUUUGCUAUUGCACUAGCAUAAACUGAAGAUCCUUCAUAUAUCUGAACAUUACAAGUUUAAUGGGUUAAAACCUAGUUAAAUUAAAACCUAAUUGAACAUCAAAAAAUGCGUUAAAACCAAAUUAUGAACGCUAACCUUGGAGUUAAACAAGAAGCUGUAGUAAUCACCAACAUGUCCACCAGCAACAUGAUGAAGAUCCAGUUGAAGUUCAUCAAGAACUUUGGAUACAAACAGCAAGCAAUUGAUCUUCUUUCUUUGAACAAGUUUAAUAGUAACUUCAUCAUCUAUUAUUCUAACAUCUACCUCUGUGUCUUUGGAUUUUCUUUGAAGCCAAGAGCUCCUUAAUGCCCCAUUAUUGAAAGACUGAUCUGGAUCGUCAAUAAUCUUGCUCUCAGGACCAUUGCCAAUGGAAUCUUCUUCAAUCUUUUGUCUCUUUCUCCUCUCUCUGGCCAAUCUCUUUUUCUCCACCAGAAUUUUCAGUUCAUUUACAGUUCUAAGAAGUUCUUUGAUGUAACUAAUUGCAUCUCCAACCACAGAGGCUCUAUCACUCUUUCUCAUCAAACAACAUAAAUAACAACUGAAUUAGCUAAUGUAACAUCAAGAAAAAUAUAUGUCUGUGUAAUUUUAACAAACACCUUUCAAAUGAAACCAAUUAGAACUAAAGAUUUUGCUCUCUUUUAUCUUCUUAAAUUAAUUUUGUUCAACUAGAAAUUAAAGGAGGAGCUUAACUAUAUAUCUAUGGGAUAUUGAAAGAGAAACUAAUUAAAUACCUUAGAAGAGUUAGGGACCAAAUUUUUCAAGUCAUCAUAUUUAUCUUUGAGGUUUUGUCUCCUUUGACGCUCAGUAGCAAAGUGUUUGAUAUUUCCACCUUGUCUACCUUUACCCAUACAAGCCAUAUCCCAUGUAAAAUCCAAAACCCCAUUAUCAAACUGCUGCUCUCCAUCUCCUUCUUGAUAAAGAUUCACUCCUCCACUUCCCUCUACAUGAUCAUCCCCUACACCACCAAACAAAGAACUGCCUCUUGACCCAGGCAAGGAAUAGCCGUGUUGAGGCAAAGAUUGAAACAAAUCCCUAAAUAAAGGAGGUUGUGGAGGAAGAUUAAGGGGAAAAAGUGGGUCAUAGAGAAUAGAAGAAGCAGAAGCUGUGUCUGUCAUUGGAAGAUCUCCAACAAAGCCUAAUGGAGUUGUAUGGUUAGGGUUUGUGAAAGAAAUUGAAGAAUUUGGAAG
This 6302-nucleotide long non-coding RNA is filed under the name Jatropha curcas. RNAcentral describes it as "long non-coding RNA (JCUR_LNC000588)". The record is from RNAcentral. Lineage: Eukaryota; Viridiplantae; Streptophyta; Magnoliopsida; Malpighiales; Euphorbiaceae.